UCAAAUUGCAGCCGAACGCCCAUAAAGCAAUUUGAUUUCUUCCGCGGAACAGCAUCCAGUUUCCCGAAAAAUCGGUUCUGGGAAUCGUGGAAACUUCGGAUUUGUAGGAGAUGGAGAAAGGGUACCGAUUGGAUGAAUCCGGUUCAAUUCCGUGUUGGGAGUAUCAACAACAUUGAGAAGGACGAGGCCUCGCUCACCGGUCCAUCGUUUCCAGCCACAGCAAAUGGAAGUACAAAAGGAAUCGUUUAUCACACCAUCCGGAAGGAGCUGUUGUUUGAAAAGCGCAGUGAUAAUAGUAUUGGCCAUCCCGCAGGAGCUCUUUUUCUUAUCAGGUUUGGUUAGCGCUCGCGGGGGAACUUUACUUCUGCUACCAGGUGAUUCGGCUGCUGUUGGUGUAAAGCUGGUG
Uranotaenia lowii is the source of this 406-nucleotide long non-coding RNA. RefSeq lists it as uncharacterized. Lineage: Eukaryota; Metazoa; Arthropoda; Insecta; Diptera; Culicidae. The record is from RefSeq and is a predicted model, not a curated record. The transcript has 3 exons.